AUGUGGCUAAAAGCACCAUUCAGUAUUAUUCACCCAGGGAGAGUUGGAAGCAGCAAAAUACAAAUGUCUGUAAUUCUCAAAACCUCCAGUAGAGAGCGCCAUAUCAUAUCGCUCCCAUUCCCCACAUACUGUAUCAUCCAUCCAUCUCUCCCAUUCCCCACCUACUGUAUCAUCCAUCCAGACAUCUCUCCCAUUCCCCACAUACUGUAUCAUCCAUCCAGACAUCUCUCCCAUUCCCCACCUACUGUAUCAUCCAUCCAGACAUCUCUCCCAUUCCCCACAUACUGUAUCAUCCAUCCAGACAUCUCUCCCAUUCCCCACAUACUGUAUCAUCCAUCCAGACAUCUCUCCCAUUCCCCACAUACUGUAUCAUCCAUCCAGACAUCUCUCCCAUUCCCCACAUACUGUAUCAUCCAUCCAGACAUCUCUCCCAUUCCCCACAUACUGUAUCAUCCAUCCAUCCAGACAUCUCUCCCAUUCCCCACAUACUGUAUCAUCCAUCCAUCCAGACAUCUCUCCCAUUCCCCACAUACUGUAUCAUCCAUCCAUCCAGACAUCUCUCCCAUUCCCCACAUAAUGUAUCAUCCAUCCAUCCAGACAUCUCUCCCAUUCCCCACAUACUGUAUCAUCCAUCCAUCCAGACAUCUCUCCCAUUCCCCACAUACUGUAUCAUCCAUCCAUCCAGACAUCUCUCCCAUUCCCCACAUACUGUAUCAUCCAUCCAUCCAGACAUCUCUCCCAUUCCCCACAUACUGUAUCAUCCAUCCAUCCAGACAUCUCUCCCAUUCCCCACAUACUGUAUCAUCCAUCCAUCCAGACAUCUCUCCCAUUCCCCACAUAAUGUAUCAUCCAUCCAUCCAGACAUCUCUCCCAUUCCCCACAUACUGUAUCAUCCAUCCAUCCAGACAUCUCUCCCAUUCCCCACAUACUGUAUCAUCCAUCCAUCCAGACAUCUCUCCCAUUCCCCACAUACUGUAUCAUCCAUCCAUCCAGACAUCUCUCCCAUUCCCCACAUACUGUAUCAUCCAUCCAUCCAGACAUCUCUCCCAUUCCCCACAUACUGUAUCAUCCAUCCAGACAUCUCUCCCAUUCCCCACAUACUGUAUCAUCCAUCCAGACAUCUCUCCCAUUCCCCACAUACUGUAUCAUCCAUCCAGACAUCUCUCCCAUUCCCCACAUACUGUAUCAUCCAUCCAGACAUCUCUCCCAUUCCCCACAUACUGUAUCAUCCAUCCAUCCAGACAUCUCUCCCAUUCCCCACAUACUGUAUCAUCCAUCCAUCCAGACAUCUCUCCCAUUCCCCACAUACUGUAUCAUCCAUCCAUCCAGACAUCUCUCCCAUUCCCCACAUAA
This 1353-nucleotide long non-coding RNA is filed under the name Oncorhynchus kisutch (coho salmon). RNAcentral describes it as "lncRNA (ENSOKIG00005038845.1)". Lineage: Eukaryota; Metazoa; Chordata; Actinopteri; Salmoniformes; Salmonidae. The record is from RNAcentral.